CUCCAACUCCUUCCUUACUCCUUAAUCAUCAGCAAAAUGCACUAGCCUCCACCAAAGAAAUCAAACCCUAGCCUCCACACAACCCUAGCCUCUAUCGCGUCGUCGUUGGUCAAACUGUCACCGCCGGGUUCGUCGUGGUUGUUCUUCAGCCCCACCGUCAUGCUCCUUGUCCCGCUUUGUGCUCUGUCUUGAAGGAUCUAGUUCGUUCCUUGCUUGAUUGAGCAGGUAAGUACAUUCAUCUUCUGAUUCUUCUCCCUUGACUAAGCCCGGUCGAAUUGAAUUUUUCACGACGAUACUACAAUCUCCGCUCUCUUUAGAAGUUUUAUAUUUUGUUUUUUUAACUGUAAUUAUUGUUUUAAACUUUUAAUUGGUUAGUUAAUCUACAUCGUUUUCAUCUUGCUUCUUCAAUUGUUAUUAUCAUUUGUCAUUACUGGGAUUUAUGAUUGUUAAUGAUCUUGAAUAUUGAUUCUGACAUGCUAUGGUUCUAUGAAUUGAUUGAUUUGGUUCUGAUAAUUCUUGAUUUGAACCUUGCUGAAGUUGUUCUGUUACCUAAUUUGUUGGAAUUGAACUUGAGCAACAACAAACUAGAAGGAAGCAUCCCCUCUGACCUCAAGUCAUUCGGAGCUCUUUAUUGUCUGUUCUCUUGAUCUUAGUGGGAAUUUGUUGAAUGGAACAAUACGAAGAGUGCUUGGAGAAUUGAAGCAGUUGCAGUGGUUGAAUCUCUCUCGCACCAAUUUUUCUGGCACAAUUCCAUCUAAUUUUAAUGGUAGGUCAAGCCUAACUUUGGUCAUGUUAUUGGUUCUGCUUCUUAUCUUUGGAUUAUUUGGUGUCUGAAAGAAAUGCAACCAGAAGAACAAUUUUUCAUAUGGAGUCAUGAUGGAAAAAAUGGCAUUUGAAACCAUCAUUAAAGCUGCCAAUAAUUUUCAUGACAAAUACCUCAUGGGCAUUGGAGGGCAAUGAUCUGUUUACAAGGCUGAGUUGCCUUCAGAUAUCAAGCUCAAAGGAAUUGCCUAACAUAGAAAGUUCUUCCCUAAGCCUAAGGAAAGGAGAAUGUGAAAGAGGAAGAAUUUAUGGAAUUGGUGCACUACAUGAAGAUUUUUUAAAUUAGUUUGUUUAUAAUUUCAGUUCAAUUUGGUUCUAUUUCUGAUUCAGUCCCUUUUUGCUUUUCAUAUUGCUUCUUGAUUUUUCUGAGUCAGGUUCAUUAUGUAAUUUGAAUUUCUGGUUUACUGUUCUAAUUUAUGUUGUUUUAAUUUUUAGAAGACAUAAUUUUAAAUCA
This is a long non-coding RNA of Arachis duranensis, 1276 nucleotides long. RefSeq lists it as uncharacterized. The transcript is spliced from 3 exons. Lineage: Eukaryota; Viridiplantae; Streptophyta; Magnoliopsida; Fabales; Fabaceae. The record is from RefSeq and is a predicted model, not a curated record.